CACAUAGUAGCUUAAGAUAAAGCUCUAAACUUUUAAUUUAAAGAUGAAUUUUUUCCUAUGUGA
RNAcentral lists this transfer RNA (63 nucleotides) under Megabalanus tintinnabulum. RNAcentral describes it as "tRNA-Lys". It matches the Rfam family "tRNA". From Rfam's summary of the family: Transfer RNA (tRNA) molecules are approximately 80 nucleotides in length. Their secondary structure includes four short double-helical elements and three loops (D, anti-codon, and T loops). Further hydrogen bonds mediate the characteristic L-shaped molecular structure. tRNAs have two regions of fundamental functional importance: the anti-codon, which is responsible for specific mRNA codon recognition, and the 3' end, to which the tRNAs corresponding amino acid is attached (by aminoacyl-tRNA synthetases). tRNAs cope with the degeneracy of the genetic code in two manners: having more than one tRNA (with a specific anti-codon) for a particular amino acid; and 'wobble' base-pairing, i.e. permitting non-standard base-pairing at the 3rd anti-codon position. Lineage: Eukaryota; Metazoa; Arthropoda; Thecostraca; Balanomorpha; Balanidae. The record is from RNAcentral.